CCUACGGGCGGCAGCAGUGAGGAAUAUUGGUCAAUGGACGAGAGUCUGAACCAGCCAAGUAGCGUGAAGGAUGACUGCCCUAUGGGUUGUAAACUUCUUUUAUAUGGGAAUAAAACGUUCCACGUGUGGGAUUUUGUAUGUACCAUAUGAAUAAGGAUCGGCUAACUCCGUGCCAGCAGCCGCGGUAAUACGGAGGAUCCGAGCGUUAUCCGGAUUUAUUGGGUUUAAAGGGAGCGUAGGUGGAAUGUUAAGUCAGUUGUGAAAGUUUGCGGCUCAACCGUAAAAUUGCAGUUGAAACUGGCAGUCUUGAGUACAGUAGAGGUGAGCGGAAUUCGUGGUGUAGCGGUGAAAUGCUUAGAUAUCACGAAGAACUCCGAUUGCGAAGGCAGUUCACUGGACUGCAACUGACACUGAGGCUCGAAAGUGUGGGUAUCAAACAGGAUUAGAUACCCCAGUAGUC
RNAcentral lists this ribosomal RNA (460 nucleotides) under uncultured bacterium. RNAcentral's name for it is "partial 16S ribosomal RNA". It matches the Rfam family "Bacterial small subunit ribosomal RNA", at positions 338 to 795 of the family's 1533-position model. The record is from RNAcentral.